This 3057-nucleotide unclassified non-coding RNA is filed under the name Leishmania donovani. RNAcentral's name for it is "gene:LdHU3.06.0500(CDS-product:Fructose-bisphosph ate_aldolase_class-I_putative)". The record is from RNAcentral. Lineage: Eukaryota; Euglenozoa; Kinetoplastea; Trypanosomatida; Trypanosomatidae.
ACUUGUCCACUCUUCUCCGCCUCACGCACACACACACGCACACAUGUUUCUAAGCCCCCCUCCCCAUUUCGCUCAUAUCCACUCUCGCACUUUUUCACCCUCGCACCUUGCCUCUCCUUUCCACAAGCAACCAGCCGAGCAUGUCUGCCACUACCAAGGUACUAUGGUCGAAGCUGCCCGCGCAUGGCCGCAUGUGCAGAGGCUACGAGAAGAAGCUGCUGGAGACGGUGCUCAUCCUCGGGGCGGACGAGCCGAACGUCGUGUAGCGCGCCGUUCAUGCCGAUGGGGCCGGAGAACACGCUUGAGAAAUGCCGCAAGUUCCGCGUGAUCCUGCUGGCGACGGAGGACCUGAGCAAGAACGUUGGCGGCAUGAUUCUGAGCAAGGAGUCCGCGGAGAAGAACUGCCUUAGCGGGACGAUGUUUACAGAAAUGCUACCAAACAACAGGAUCGUGUCCGGCAUGAACGUCGACGGCAAGCUGCACUCGUUCUACGAGGGUGCGCCAGGCGAGGAGAUCACUGCCAGCAUGGGGCGGCUACGUGGAGGGCGUGCAGCACUACUACAAGCUUGGCUGCCUCUUGUGUAAGUGACGCAACGUGUUCAAGAUUCAAAAUGGGAGCGUGUCUGAGUUGCUGAUCCAGUUCAACGCAUACACGCAGGUGCGGUAUGCUGCGCUAUCGCCACUGAACGGGCUUGUGCCGAUUGUGGAGCCGGAGGUGAUGGAGGUCACGCACGGCGUGGUCCUGAAGGGCAUGCUCCUGAAGCCGAGCACGGUUGUUGCGGGCCUCCAGUCGGGGAGCAAGUGCGCAACCUCCUCCGGUGCCUGCGAUAGGAUCCCCGUCUUGCGGCCUGAGCGAGCUGCAGUCUUCGGGGUACCUGAGAGCGAUCAACAGCACGCCUGUGCCGCGACCAUGGGACCUGGCGUUCGCGUUUGGGUGCGCUCUCCUGCGGGGGAGCGCAGUGAGGACAUGGAAGGGCAAGAACGAGCUGAUCCCCGAGACGCGCAGGGCGUCCCUGCAUGGUGCGAAGGUGAGCUCGCUUGCUGCGUCCGGCACGUACGAUGCGGAGCUAGAGACAUCGGUGUAAGUGCGGCGCGCACGUGAAGUGUCGGCCUGUGCAUGCUGUUGGGACUCGCGAAUUUCGUCUGGCACUUCCGGGUUUUCAGCUCUUCCAUGCCGACGUAUGCUAAGGUGUAGUGCACGGAUGCAUAGGUCGGGCUCGAGAUCUUUGCGAAGCUUCAUGAAAGGGACUGAUGCUCAUUCCGUCCCGAGGCGGCGACGUCGCCUGAUCGAACGCCUUUCCCCAUGCACGUCUUCCCUUGCAUUGUCUAGUUGAUAGCGAUGCGUGUUUGCCGCCGUCAUCGCAUCUGUUUUCUGCUUGUCAGGCUCGCUGUAGUCUUAUCCGAUUCGUCCGUGUGCUUGCCUUUCACUCGGGUCCAAAGACACCUCUCUUGCUCGGCAAAGGCUGGGAGGAGGGCGCGUGAUGUCGGUAUCACGCUGACCCCCGGCAAUAACAUCGCUGGAGGGUGCCGCACACGAUUUCACAUACUUCCAACGAAGCGUUGAUUUAGUAUGGCACACGUGCGUAUGCAGAGAAUGUUUGUCCCGCUCUUGGUAUUUGUGUUGCUUCUCCACACACAUUUUCGUGUCCCGGAUGACGGGAGACACGCACACAUGCCUCUCAGUGCGUGCUGUCUCAGGCUCCAGUACAACCCCACUCUCUCUGCCUGGGGAGAAGCCAAAGCAGCCCCCCUCCCCUCCCCUCCUAUGCCUGCCGAAUGCCGAACUCGCCUCUGGUGUGUGACAGGGUCAGGUGUCUGUGACGUAGGCGGAGGUCCGCGCGAUGCAUCGCUGCUGAUGUCGGCGGUGAGGGCCUGGAUGGCGUUGCGUCGGGGCGACCUGCGACCGUGCACACGCCUGCACACCGUCUAUGUGAUGGGCGAAGUGCCAGCGUGGCUCGAACGCACCCCGCACGGCCCUCACACUGACCACUGGUGGGGGGCAGCCUGAGCGCCACGCCGAGGGGGAUGCACCAGGGGUGGCGACCGGCACAAUGGGGGAGCGGCUGCGAGGCGACCUGCUCAGCGGGCAUGUGGGCUGGGCUCGAGGCAGAGGCGGUGCUGAGACGACUGGGUCGGCGCAUUGCUGCCAUGCGCGCGUGCCUAGGGCUUCUUCACGUCCACUCUGCCUGCUCUGCCACAGGCCCAUUUUGUGGUACGAACUCGUGUUGUAGGGAAGAAUACGGAGACGUUGACGAGAAGACCCCCACGCCUACGUAUGUUGUUUGCUGAUGGUCUGGAGUCUCUCGCCUUCGCUGUAUAUGCGUGCGCGCUUACGUACUCCUUAUCACCAUUUCUGGCCCGGCAAACCAGGAACACGGAGGGGGAGAACGAGGGCGAUGUGCACGCUAUGGACAUGGUCGCCCUCAUCAGCCGGAGCCGCCGCCGCCAUUGCAGACACACCCACAUGCAUGUACACCCUCACCCCGCGUACGUGUGUCUCGGCGACUCGCAACCAUCGUGCUUGCGUGUGCAAUUUGUGCACCCUUGUUCACAGAACGUAGAUCUUGCGUGCACGGGCUUGUUUCAAGGACAAGUGAAAGCUGUGCUUUUCAUAACGCAGGAAUGUCUCCCGUCUGAACGCUCGCACUCGCUCCUUCGGCACUGGAUGACGGGGAGAGGCGGAUUGUAGCGGUGGUAAUGACGAGCACAUGUGUUACGACAGCUCUGUGCGCGGUGCUUGAUCCUUGAGUUUCAGUUGAGGUUGUGCGGGGUAGCGAAGGGGUGGGGGAUGCAUCUCCUUGAUCUCGGAGCUACUCGACGUAGUCUCUACGUCCUCCCGUCCAUCUCCCACCGACUACCCAGCCUGCCUGCACUCCCUUCUUGUACAUGGCAUUGCUAGGGCACCGCCACCCCCUUCUACGCGCCAGAUGCCACAGUCCUAUCCUUCACGCCCUCUGUUCAUCGCUUUCCUACUCUAUCGCCUCUACUCGUUUCCCUCCGCCACUGCCACGACACACAUUGAUGACCCUUCUCUCCCCUCUCUUCCUCCCGCUGCAG